CAGUAGAAAACGGAUGAACACACCUAGAUUUCUUCCCGCGUGAAUCCAGUUGAUACAGAUAAGCUGAUUCUAAAACCUACAAGAAUGGCAAAGAAACAAGAAGAGCUUAAACUGCAAUCAUCAACAGAGAAGCCUUCUGCAACCAAAGUGAAGACUGAAGCCCUAGGCUAUGGCAGAAGUUGGGCGCCUGAAGUACACAUGGAAAUAUGCCAACUGAACAUUGGACUAUCACUAACCUGGAUUCUUCCAUCUUUUGAAGUGGAAACUGUCCUAACCCCAUAACCUCGACAUCACUAGACAGGGUCUGGCUUUGUUGCCCUGGUCUUGAACUCCUG
RNAcentral lists this long non-coding RNA (335 nucleotides) under Pan troglodytes (chimpanzee). Its description in RNAcentral is "lincRNA". The record is from RNAcentral. Lineage: Eukaryota; Metazoa; Chordata; Mammalia; Primates; Hominidae.